RNAcentral lists this ribosomal RNA (492 nucleotides) under uncultured bacterium. RNAcentral's name for it is "partial 16S ribosomal RNA". It matches the Rfam family "Bacterial small subunit ribosomal RNA", at positions 29 to 507 of the family's 1533-position model. The record is from RNAcentral.
AGUGAACGCUGGCGGUAGGCCUAACACAUGCAAGUCGAACGGCAGCACAGUAAGAGCUUGCUCUUACGGGUGGCGAGUGGCGGACGGGUGAGGAAUACAUCGGAAUCUACUUUUUCGUGGGGGAUAACGUAGGGAAACUUACGCUAAUACCGCAUACGACCUACGGGUGAAAGCAGGGGAUCUUCGGACCUUGCGCGAUUGAAUGAGCCGAUGUCGGAUUAGCUAGUUGGCGGGGUAAAGGCCCACCAAGGCGACGAUCCGUAGCUGGUCUGAGAGGAUGAUCAGCCACACUUGGACUGAGGCACGGUCCAGACUCCUACGGGAGGCAACAGUGGGGAAUUUUUGACAAAGGGCCGAAACCUGAUCCAGCCCUACCGCGUGGGUUGAGGAAGCCCUCCGGUUUUUAAACCCUUUUUUUUGGGAAGAAAAACCGCAAGUUAAAACCCCGCUGUUCUGGCGGUACCCAAAGGAUAAGGUCCGGCUAACUUCGUU